Molecule: ribosomal RNA, 253 nt
Filed under: uncultured bacterium
Lineage: Bacteria
Description: partial 16S ribosomal RNA
Rfam family: Bacterial small subunit ribosomal RNA
Source: RNAcentral
UACGAGGGGGGCGAGCGUUGUUCGGAUUCACUGGGCGUAAAGGGUGCGUAGGUGGUGAGGUAAGUCGGAUGUGAAAGCUCGGAGCUCAACUCCGAAAUGGCAUUGGAAACUACCUUGCUCGAGGGUUGGAGGGGGGACUGGAAUACUUGGUGUAGCAGUGAAAUGCGUAGAUAUCAAGUGGAACACCAGUGGCGAAGGCGAGUCCCUGGACAACUCCUGACACUGAGGCACGAAAGCUAGGGGAGCAAACAGG